This 254-nucleotide ribosomal RNA is filed under the name uncultured bacterium. Its description in RNAcentral is "partial 16S ribosomal RNA". It matches the Rfam family "Bacterial small subunit ribosomal RNA", at positions 524 to 776 of the family's 1533-position model. The record is from RNAcentral.
UACGUAGGGUGCGAGCGUUAAUCGGAAUUACUGGGCGUAAAGCGUGCGUAGGUGGUUCGUUGUGUCUGUGGUGAAAGCCCCGGGCUUAACCUGGGAACGGCCAUGGAAACUGGCGAGCUGGAGUGUGGCAGAGGGGGGUGGAAUUCCGCGUGUAGCAGUGAAAUGCGUAGAGAUGCGGAGGAACACCGAUGGCGAAGGCAGCCCCCCUGGGCUAACACUGACGCUGAGGCACGAAAGCGUGGGGAGCAAACAGG